ACAGGCGGCGGUGCCGUGUGUUUUCCCCUUUCUUCUUCGCUAGUUCAUCUUCCUCAUCAGGUUGAAUCCCUGCUUGUAUCCCCACCCCUGUAACCAUACCACUGUAAUCGAGAGACCACCAGCGAGUACCUAACACGUGGUAUCAGUCGCCAUCCCGCCCCUCUUCCCCGCGCUGGAGACGCGCAAGCAAGGCGUCGAUCGCCAACGACUCCUCGCCACCAUGGAUCCGACGCUCAAGGCCUAUCUGGACAAGUUGCAGGAGAACAUGACACAAGGCCAACGACGACAUCCGCACCGAUAUCAAGCAGAUCGCGGGGCGGAUCGGCCACCAAUCCGCCCAGGUGGAUGAACUCACCGCUUGGAAACCCGAUCUGGAGGCGUGCCUCGCCGAGCUCCAGGCGUCGGUCGGUGCGCUGCAGGGCGAGCAGACAGCCAAGGCAAGUUUGCCAGCGAGUGGAUCGAAGGUGGUGGAUCUCUCCGAUCCAUCAUCUGGCGGUGUGAUCCACGGGCCCGAUGGUCACGGCAAGUCUCAUCUUCCACGAGGCGGGUUGUUGGUGGGUGGCGUCCCACCGACGACCUCUCCAGCCAAUAGUACGCCCAACUUCCACCUUCCUAUGCAAUCACGCCUGCUGGAUACUGCCCUGGCCCCCAAUUCCAAUUCCCAUCAAAUAGUCGCUGGGCUAGGAGCAACACCGCCAUCCAUUUUGUUUCCCCCAAUUUUCAGGUGAAAAUCCAAAAAUCUGGAAGACGAUGUGCGAACAAUAUUUUACUAUGUUCCAGAUUCAUGCAUCUUACUACGCUCCCAUGUCAAAAUUGCAUUUCACUAGACCAGCAGCGAUCUGGCUACAAUCGGUUCAAGGCAAAAUUGCCGAACUCGAUUGGGAAGCAUUCUACAUUCUCCUAUGUGCUUGUUUUGGGCGAGACCGUCAUCAAUUGCUGAUCUGUCAAUUUUAUUCAUUACGGCAAACUAGUUCUGUUGCAGAUUACAUUGAGCAGUUUGAAAAUUUGAUGAAUCAUUUAAUUUCCUAUUCUGAUGUUAUCCAUCCCUUGUAUUUCCUAACAAGGUUCGUGGAGGGACUGCGACAGGACAUCUGUGUCGUGGUCAUGGUUCAGAGGCCCAAGGAUCUUGACACAGCAUGUGCCUUGGCCAUUCUGCAAGAAGAAGUGGCCGAUGGGCAACGGGGGAGGGGGGGGCUGGUACAAUCAUUCAGAAGGAGUACCCCCUCCCCCCAACUCGCCUGCAGCAGGCUACACCCCUUCCAUUACCACCUCCACCUGCACCAGCGAGAACACCAACUAUAUCACCAGCAGUAGAUGAUCGCCGCGCAACGGAAGCAACUCUAGCAGGCAGCGAUGCAUCCAAACUCACUGCCCUGUGCAACUUUCUCCACACGAAGGAGUUGUGUUUCAAGUGUGGCGAACGUUGGGGGCAUGAUCAUGUGUGUCCACCAACGGUCAAACUGCAUGUCAUUGAGGACAUGCUCAGCCUAUUCAGUAUGGAGACGCCACUUGAAGAUACAGGGAACAUUUCUCAACCAGGCAGUAGGAUACAUCCGAGAAAGUGUGGCAGCUCUCCAACAACGCAGUUUCAGGUACAGAGGCACCCAACUAUUUGCAGUUGUACGGUUGGUUGCAAGGUCAGGAAGUGUUAAUGCUCGUGGAUUCUGGCAGCUCGGCAUAAUUUGUUUCUCAGAAUUUGCUACCCCGCUUGCAACGAGUAGAGGACAUGGCCAAGCUAGUGAAAGUAGCAGUUGCCAAUGGUUCUCAGUUGUGGUGUGACAAGGAAGUUUUGGAUUGCCCUUGGUACACACAGGACCAAGAAUUUGCUACUAACUUCAGGAUAUUUCCUUUGGGCACUUACGACGUCAUCUUGGGCAUGGACUGGCUGGAAUAUCACAGCCACAUGCUCAUUGAUUGGCCCAAGCGGUGUAUGCAAGUUGAACACGAGGGAUUCACAAUCAUCCUGCAAGGGAUCACAUCUUCAACCACUUCUUGUGAAUGCCUUAACAUCAUACAACUCGCGAGUAUGGAUAAGCAGUCGGCGGUGGCUUAUGUAGUUCAGUUGUGUUAUGUAGAGGAUUCAGAGAACCUAACUGACAUCCAAUACACUGAACUACCUCCUGAAAUUGCACAAGUUCUACUGGACUACGAGGAUGUGUUUCAGGAACCCACAGAGCUGCCUCCGAAACAAGAUUGUGAUCACACCAUUCCGCUGAUGCACGAAGCGCAGCCGGUAAACAUAUGAGCAUAUCACCACAAGCCAGAAUUGAAAACAGAAAUUGAACGGCAAGUAGCAGAAAUGUUGAAGGCAGGACUUAUUCAGAAAAGUAGCAACCCCUUUUCCUCCCCUAUCAUACUAGUCAGAAAAAAGGAUGGCACGUGGCGCAUGUGCAUCGACUACAGACGAUUGAAUGCAAUGAAAAUCAUCAGCAAAUACCCUGUUCCCGUGCUCGAAGACAUCUUGGAUGAAUUGGCAGGCGCCCGAUGGUUCUCUAAACUGGACCUUCGCUCAGAAUAUCAUCAAAUCUGCUUGGAAGAAGGCAGGAGUUCAAAAUAGCGUUCCAAAUGCAUGCAGGCCAUUUCGAAUACAAGGUAGUUCCCUUUGGCCUGGGAGGGGCCCCAACAACAUUUCUUGGAGCCAUAAAUGUCACAUUGCAUCCCUUUCUAUGAGUCUGCGCCAUGCACUUCUUCGACGACAUUCUAGUAUUCAGCAAAUCCCUUGAUGUGCAUGUUCAACACCUAUAGCAAGUACUAUCACUCCUCAGGCGAGAUCAGUGGUACGUCAAGCAAUCCAAGUGUGUUUUCGCACACCAGGAACUCAACUACCUCGGCCACACCAUUUCAGCUCAAGGGGUUUCCACGGAUCGUACCAAGAUCCAACAUGUGGCUGAUUGGCAUGUACCAUCUUGUGUCAAGGAUGUUCGAGCCUUUCUGGGACUUGCGGGGUAUUACAUGCGCUUUGUCCAGCAAUUUGGCAUGCUAGCUCGAGCUCUCACCAACCUGCUACACAAACAAGUACCUUUCCAGUGGACAGAGGCAACACAAUAUGCAUUUGAAGCUCUCAGACGAGCUCUGACCUCAGCCCUACCUUGGCACUUCCUGAUUACACGAAACCAUUGUUAUCGAGACAAGCGUUGCGAGUAUGGAGUAGCCGCGGUCCUACAGCAAGAGGGGCAUCCAAUCGCGUAUCUCAGCAAAGCAUUGGGCACACAGACCAAAGGGUUAUCGACAUAUGAAAAAGAAUAUCUCGUAAUUGUCCUAGCAGUCAAACAAUGGUGACCAUACCUUCAGUUUGGGGAGUUCUCGCUCAAGACUGAUCAACGCAGCUUGGUCCACUUGGGAACAACGCAUACACAACCCUUGGCAACAAAAAGCUUUUACCAAGCUGUUGGGACUGUAGUAUCACAUCUGUUAUUGCAAGGGUACGGAGAAUAGUGCUGCUGAUGCACUAUCGAGGUGACCUAUCUCUGCUCUGGAACAAUUAUAGGCAAUCUCAGUGUGCCAACUGGCAUGGCUGCAGGAAAUUGUCACGGGCUAUGAGGCUGACCCCAAAACACAACAAUUGAUCUCCUAGCUUGCUAUAGCACCCGUGGCCGGAGGAAACUUCACCAUCGGCAAGGGCAUAAUACGAUUCAAAGGUCGUGUAUGGUUGGGUAACAAUGCACACCUACAACAAAAGAUCAUGCAAACCUUGCAUGGAAGCGCUAUCGAAGGCCAUUCCGGGUUUCCUGCUACUUAUCGCCGGAUUAAACACCUGUUGCCUGGCCGAGAAUGAAACAACAGGUCAAGGAACAUGUGCAGUCAUGCCAAGUGUGUCAACAGGCCAAACCUGAUCGCGUGCAAUACCCUGGACUACUACACCCUCUGCCCGUUGCCAAAUGCUGCUGGGAUCUCGUUUCGAUGGAUUUCAUUGGAGGAUUACCAUAGUCCAGGCAAUAUAACUGCAUACUUGUCAUUAUGGACACUUUCUCCAAGUAGGCGCAUUUUCUUUCGGCCAAGCACCCUUAUACAGCACAGACCAUUGCACAAUUAUACAUUGGUCAAUUCUAAAAGCUCCAUGGUAUGCCAGAAGCAAUCAUUUUAGAUCGGGGUGCUGUUUUCACCAGCAAGGUCUGGCAAGAGAUUUUCAGGUUGUAAGGAGUGGAACUAAAGAUGAGCUUUUCCCACCAUCCGCAAACGAACAGGCAAACGGAGCGUGUUAACCAAUGCGUUGAGACAUAUCUACGCUGCUUCGUGCACAACACUCCAACAAAUUGGAGCAGAUGGUUGGCAUUGGCAGAAUUCUGGUACAAUUCAACAUACCACUCUACCUUGGGUAAGACUCCAUUCUUUGUGGUUUAUGGUCAAGAACCGCGACAGUUAGGCAUGGUGCCAGAACACGCAAACUCCCCAACCCGAGCUCAAUGAGUGUCUUGAGGAACGCCAAUAGAUGCAACACGCUCUACGACAGCACCUUGUUCAUGCCAAGCAAAUAAUGAAGAAUCAAGCUGACCAGCGACGAACCCCCUAGAGAAUUCCAAGUGGGUGAUCAGGUUUUCCUCAAACUAAAACCUUACAUUCAGACAUCUGUGGCCUGACGGGCCAACCACAAGCUCAACUUCAAUUUUUUGGGCCUUAUCCAAUCAUCCGAUGAGUGAAUGACGUCGCAUAUGAACUCCAACUACCUGAGGGAUCAUCCAUCUUCCCUGUUUUCCAUGUAUCACAACUUCACAAGGCGUUGACACCAUGUACAAGUGCUUCCUCGUCACUUCCAACCAUUGUUGACACUAUCAAUGUGCCUGUCAAGAUCCUGGACAAACGGUGGCGUCGCAGCUCCCACAAGGCGUGAGCAAGGCCUGGUACGUUGGCAGGAUAAUCAAGCUACUCCAGACACUUGGGAAGAUCUCGAAGACCUCCGGCGAUGUUUUCCUACUGCACCGACUUGGGGACAAGUCGUAUCUGAAGAAGGAGGGGGUGUUAGAGACCCAGCUGCACCUGGGCUAGCACAAGCCACGGUACCGAGCCGGCCCAGAGGAGAGAGGAGACCUUGCCACAAGUUUAUUGGACCCCAAUGGAUCUCCUACAUCUUCAGCCUAGAAGACCCAGAGACAGAGGGAUAUAAGGUAGGUAGCAGGUAGAGGGUGAUCCAUCCCGACUAGGAUCAGAACAGACGGCGGUGGCGUGUGUUUUCUGCUUUCUUCUUCGCUAGUUCAUCUUCCUCCUCGAGUUGAAACCCUUCUUGUAUCCCCACCCCUGUAACCAUACCACUGUAAUCGAGAGACCACCAGCAAGUAACUAACAACACGUUUGAUUGUGUGCAAAUACUCUUAGGUCUGCAUGACACAUUUCUUAAAGCACCUAUGGGUCUAGUGUUGGAGGCAUGCUUGAAUCGGCCCUUUUUCAGAGUUAGACCCAUGCGAUGUGAGGGGUCACACAUGGGUGGUGGAGGUUUUCCCUAAAAAAAUGGGUGGAGGAGGUUGCAUGUGUGGGGAAACCCCGUGUUGGUUCCUGAAGUGGCGCCUUAACACCCUUUUAUCACUAGUCUAUCUCCCUCCCCCCUAUCUCUUUCUCUCUCUCUCUCACUCACUCUCUCUCUCUCUCUCUCACACACACACACACACAUCUGCGGCGACCACAGAUCUGCACGGCGAGCACCGCUGGCCAUACAUUGGAGGCAAGCUCUAGACGGUGAUCACCGGCGGCGAGCACCAAAUCACCCCCCAUCCGCUUCAAUGACGAUUGAGAAUCUCGUCAUGGGAGGCAAUGACAAGGAGGGCAAGGAGGUCACCUUGUACAAGAAGGGCAAAGCGGUGGUGGAGAUUGGCAACGCCUCGAAGAGGGUUAAGAAAUAUGACAGCGUCGACCCAACAUACUUCUGCAAGAUCAUCUUUGGACCUCAAGUGGAGUAUCUACAGAUGCCCCUCCCUUCAGCAAGCACUUCGUCCCUGUCCCAAUGGAGUCCAGGUUGUCGACGAACAAUGGCUGCACUAACGCCAUAGCCCGGAUGAUCGCUGGCAGGCUCACCCUUGACAAUGAUUGGGCUGACUUCUGUGUAGCUCACGAGUGUUGAAAAUAUGCCCUGGAGGCAAUAAUAUUGUAUUAUUAUAUUUCAGUUAUUCACAGUUAAGAUUUUAUAUUCCAUGCUAUAACUGCUAUCAUCCUGGAAUAUGUGAUUCACUGGAAAUCUCAUAUGCACGUGUGGAAUGAUAAAUGGUAAACAAUAGAUUCC
Long non-coding RNA from Triticum aestivum (bread wheat), 6208 nucleotides. RefSeq lists it as uncharacterized. The transcript is spliced from 2 exons. Lineage: Eukaryota; Viridiplantae; Streptophyta; Magnoliopsida; Poales; Poaceae. The record is from RefSeq and is a predicted model, not a curated record.